Molecule: transfer RNA, 68 nt
Filed under: Marmota monax (woodchuck)
Lineage: Eukaryota; Metazoa; Chordata; Mammalia; Rodentia; Sciuridae
Description: tRNA.Ala
Rfam family: tRNA
About the family: Transfer RNA (tRNA) molecules are approximately 80 nucleotides in length. Their secondary structure includes four short double-helical elements and three loops (D, anti-codon, and T loops). Further hydrogen bonds mediate the characteristic L-shaped molecular structure. tRNAs have two regions of fundamental functional importance: the anti-codon, which is responsible for specific mRNA codon recognition, and the 3' end, to which the tRNAs corresponding amino acid is attached (by aminoacyl-tRNA synthetases). tRNAs cope with the degeneracy of the genetic code in two manners: having more than one tRNA (with a specific anti-codon) for a particular amino acid; and 'wobble' base-pairing, i.e. permitting non-standard base-pairing at the 3rd anti-codon position.
Source: RNAcentral
GUUGUAGCUCAGUGGUAGAGCGCUUGCCUCGCAUGCAUGAGGCGCUGGGUUCGAUCAGUACUACAACA